RNAcentral lists this ribosomal RNA (492 nucleotides) under uncultured bacterium. RNAcentral describes it as "partial 16S ribosomal RNA". It matches the Rfam family "Bacterial small subunit ribosomal RNA", at positions 29 to 507 of the family's 1533-position model. The record is from RNAcentral.
AGUGAACGCUGGCGGUAGGCCUAACACAUGCAAGUCGAACGGCAGCACAGUAAGAGCUUGCUCUUACGGGUGGCGAGUGGCGGACGGGUGAGGAAUACAUCGGAAUCUACUUUUUCGUGGGGGAUAACGUAGGGAAACUUACGCUAAUACCGCAUACGACCUACGGGUGAAAGCAGGGGAUCUUCGGACCUUGCGCGAUUGAAUGAGCCGAUGUCGGAUUAGCUAGUUGGCGGGGUAAAGGCCCACCAAGGCGACGAUCCGUAGCUGGUCUGAGAGGAUGGUAGCCCAAACUAGAACUGAGACACGGUCCAGACUCCUAAGGGAGGCAGCAGUGGGAAAUAUUGGACAAAGGGGUCAAGCCUGAUCCAGGCAUUCCGCGUGGGUGAAGAAGGCCUUCGGGUUGUAAAGCCCUUUUGUUGGGAAAGAAAAGCAGCAGGUUAAUACCCCGCUGUUCUGACGGUACCCAAAGAAUAAGCACCGGCUAACUUCGUG